Molecule: non-coding RNA, 107 nt
Organism: Otolemur garnettii (small-eared galago)
Lineage: Eukaryota; Metazoa; Chordata; Mammalia; Primates; Galagidae
Source: Rfam
GCACUCACCUCAGCAGCACACACACUAAAAUUAGAAGGACACAGAGAAGAUCAGCCAGGCCCCUACACAAGAAUGACACACAAAUUUGGGAAGUGUUUAAGAAACAC